Non-coding RNA from Python bivittatus (Burmese python), 188 nucleotides. The record is from RefSeq and is a predicted model, not a curated record. NCBI's taxonomy places the organism in Eukaryota, Metazoa, Chordata, Lepidosauria, Squamata, Pythonidae.
CGCGGGAGUAUCCCGAAGAACGCGACGCGUGGAAGGCGGCUCCGUCUGUGCCGUAAGUGCAGGCAGUUGAAUAGAAGAAAGUGGCUUGGAGCUUUUUUCACUUCUACCAUUGGGGAUUUAAUUUCAUCAUCUCUGACUCUGUCCUUUAAAAAAAGAAAGAAAGAAAAGCAGCAACAGCGAGACCCACA